RNAcentral lists this ribosomal RNA (406 nucleotides) under uncultured bacterium. RNAcentral describes it as "partial 16S ribosomal RNA". It matches the Rfam family "Bacterial small subunit ribosomal RNA", at positions 30 to 526 of the family's 1533-position model. The record is from RNAcentral.
AUUGAACGCUGGCGGCAGGCCUAACACAUGCAAGUCGAGCGAGCGGCGGACGGGUGAGUCAUGUCUGGGAAACUGCCUGAUGGAGGGGGAUAACUACUGGAAACGGUAGCUACUCCCGCAUACCAUCAGAUGUGCCAAGGUUGGAUUAGCUAUUAGGUGGGGUAACGGCUCACCUAGGCGACGAUCCCUAGCUGGUCUGAGAGGAGGACCAGCCAUACCGGAACUGAGACACGGUCCAGACGCCUACGGGAGGCAGCAGUGGGGAAUAUUGCACAAUGGGCGCAAGCCUGAUGCAGCCAUGCCGCGUGUGUGAAGAAGGCCUUCGGGUUGUAAAGCACUUUCAGCGGGGAGGCGGUACCCGCAGAAGAAGCACCGGCUAACUCCGUGCCAGCAGCCGCGGUAAUUC